CCUGGCGGCUGUAGCGCGGUGGUCCCACCUGACCCAUGCCGAACUCAGAAGUGAAACGCCGUAGCGCCGAUGGUAGUGUGGGGUCUCCCCAUGCGAGAGUAGGGAACUGCCAGGC
RNAcentral lists this ribosomal RNA (115 nucleotides) under Citrobacter freundii. Lineage: Bacteria; Pseudomonadati; Pseudomonadota; Gammaproteobacteria; Enterobacterales; Enterobacteriaceae. The record is from RNAcentral. RNAcentral also lists the same sequence under 3 other names.